GCCCCCAUCGUCUAGCGGCCUAGGACAUCGCCCUCUCACGGCGAAGACACCGGUUCAAAUCCGGUUGGGGGUGCCA
RNAcentral lists this transfer RNA (76 nucleotides) under Bacillota bacterium. Its description in RNAcentral is "Firmicutes bacterium (anaerobic digester metagenome) tRNA-Glu". It matches the Rfam family "tRNA". From Rfam's summary of the family: Transfer RNA (tRNA) molecules are approximately 80 nucleotides in length. Their secondary structure includes four short double-helical elements and three loops (D, anti-codon, and T loops). RNAcentral also lists the same sequence under 2 other names. The record is from RNAcentral. Lineage: Bacteria; Bacillati; Bacillota.